GCCAUCGUAGCCCAAUGGUAGGGCGUCGCUUUCCUAUCUGGCAUACAUCCUUUGACGGAGGCGAAGGUUGCGGGUUCGAUCCCCGUCGGUGGUA
Molecule: non-coding RNA, 94 nt
Organism: Stygiomarasmius scandens
Lineage: Eukaryota; Fungi; Basidiomycota; Agaricomycetes; Agaricales; Campanellaceae
Source: the annotation of a GenBank genome assembly